This 408-nucleotide ribosomal RNA is filed under the name uncultured bacterium. RNAcentral describes it as "bacterial SSU rRNA". It matches the Rfam family "Bacterial small subunit ribosomal RNA", at positions 355 to 776 of the family's 1533-position model. The record is from RNAcentral.
UCGAGAAUCUUCCGCAAUGGGCGAAAGCCUGACGGAGCGACGUUACGUGAAUGAAGAAACCCUUCGGGGUGUAAAGUUCUUUUAUAUGGGAGGAAGUUAUUGACAGUACCAUAUGAAUAAGAGGAUCCUAAUUCUGUGCCAGCAGGAGCGGUAAUACAGAAUCCUCAAGCGUUACCCGGAUUUAUUGGGCGUAAAGGGUUCGUAGGUGGCGUAGUAAGUUGAAAGUUAAAACUCAUCGGCUUAACCUUUGAGGUGCUUUCAAUACUGCUAUGCUUGAGGGCGUUAGGGGUUAGCGGAACCGACGGAGUAGGGGUGAAAUCCGUUGAUAUCGUCGGGAACACCAAAAGCGAAGGCAGCUAACUAGGACGACCCUGACACUGAGGAACGAAAGCGUGGGGAGCAAAAAGG